This 438-nucleotide ribosomal RNA is filed under the name Preussia intermedia. RNAcentral describes it as "eukaryotic LSU rRNA". The stretch from base 107 to 260 matches the Rfam family "5.8S ribosomal RNA". Lineage: Eukaryota; Fungi; Ascomycota; Dothideomycetes; Pleosporales; Sporormiaceae. The record is from RNAcentral.
CCUUUUUGAGUACCUUUCGUUUCCUCGGCAGCCUCGGCUGCCAAUGGGGACCCCAAAAAACACUUUGCAGUACCUGUAACAGUCUGAACAAACAAACAAAAAUUAAAACUUUCAACAACGGAUCUCUUGGUUCUGGCAUCGAUGAAGAACGCAGCGAAAUGCGAUAAGUAGUGUGAAUUGCAGAAUUCAGUGAAUCAUCGAAUCUUUGAACGCACAUUGCGCCCUUUGGUAUUCCUUAGGGCAUGCCUGUUCGAGCGUCAUUUAAACCUUCAAGCUCAGCUUGGUGUUGGGUGACUGUCCGCCGCCCCCGGCGUGGACUCGCCUCAAAAUUAUUGGCGGCCGGUACAUUGGCUUCGAGCGCGGCAGAAACGCGAACUCGGGCCCGUCGUAUUGGCUCCCAGAAGCUAUCUUCACAAUUUUGACCUCGGAUCAGGUAGG